GCUUCACUGAUAAAAGAGCAAAAUCAAAAGUGACUUUCUUCUAAUUAUAAGAUUAAUUAUUAUAGAAAAUUUAGAAAUUAUGAAUGAGUAUUAAAUAAGGACAAUAUACUAUACACCCAAUUUAAUAUCUUGCUUUUUUUUUACCUAAUAUUUUAGUAUAUUUUAUAAAACAUUCUCAGUAGAGUCAUUUUAAUUACUGUAUAUGAUUCCAUUUUUUGAUGUACAGUAACUUAUCUUAAAUUGUUUACAUUAUUGACAGUUUAUUCUAAAUAAUACUGUGAUAAAUACCUUUGUUGAUAUAAAAAAAU
RNAcentral lists this long non-coding RNA (308 nucleotides) under Bos taurus (domestic cattle). Its description in RNAcentral is "long non-coding RNA NONBTAT019809". Lineage: Eukaryota; Metazoa; Chordata; Mammalia; Artiodactyla; Bovidae. The record is from RNAcentral.